This is a non-coding RNA of Aegilops tauschii subsp. strangulata, 3658 nucleotides long. The record is from RefSeq and is a predicted model, not a curated record. Lineage: Eukaryota; Viridiplantae; Streptophyta; Magnoliopsida; Poales; Poaceae.
UUUAAGUGGUCUGCGGUGAAAAAACGUUUCGUUCGUGGGCUGACGCACGGGCUCUCCUCCCCACGCGCAGCGCCCCCCGAGCUCCAGAUCGGGAGGGGAGCUCCCGAUCCAGAGCCCCUCGCCGCCCCGCUGCCUUCGCGCUCGGCCUCGCCACCGGCCGCCGCGCCGCCGUCGACCAUAGCCGGACCUCCACGCCUCGCGCCCCCUCUUAUGGAGCAGCCAUGGCCACCGGCCGCCGCGCCGCCCACCACGACGAGCUGCUCAGCACUCUCCUCGCCGCCGCGGGCAACGGCCGGGAGGAGGAGGAGGACGCGCGGGAGGCGCGGCAGCGUCAGAAUCAACGCGUCGAAUCCGGCCUCGGCUUACGGCGACACGGACGUGGAGGCUCUGGCUGCGACCGCCGCACUUUAUGCCCCGACCCUGCUCGCCGAGCCCUGCCGCUCCGGUUCUCCAUCCAUGUACGCUGUCGGGGACUUGCAGGUCCAAGCUUGCUGCUAUCAUCUUCAAUUUGCAGAAGAAAGUUGGGUCCUCACGGAGGGAAGGAAGGAUGUUUGCUAAUGUGGUUGGGUGGCUUUCUGUUUUUGGAAGGAGGAAGGUUUAUUCAGUCCAUCCUCCUGCCUCUCCCUGCACAAAAAAUGGUUCAUCCUUCAUUGGUAUGUUUGCAGCUAUGGAGGAGGUGAACGCAGAGACAACUGCGGGCUAGCUGCAGCUUCUGUUUGAGCAGAGGCGAUCGUUCCUUGCCGGAAUCGUAUUUCAGGUGAACCUCUCUGAAUUUUUCCACAUGUUUACAAGUAUCAGCCUGUGGUAUGCAGCUGCUCUGUUAGUUGUCUCUAUUAUUCUGAUGUCUCACCCCUUUUUUUGUUGCAAUUUUUUAGCUCUGCAUUGUAUAAUUGCUGCUAAUUCAAGUAUUGGAUUUUGUGCUUUACGGGAAACCACUUGAUCUGACCCCAAAACAGGAGAAAAUUAUGUAUAACAAGGCCAAUGAAAUCAAUGGGUACAUGAGAGGCUGCUCGACCGCAGCUUCUGGAUCAGGUCAACGCGGCUGCUCGAGAGGCUGGGGACGACGCAUCUGCUCGGUGCAGAAUGGCGGUGGCGGGAUCCAGCGGGCGCGGGAGAAUGAGGGAUCCGGCGCCGUGGGCGAAGUCCUUGCAGCUGGAGGCGGGCCUCCAUGGCUGGCAGGGAGAGCUCCAAGGUCAUGGCGGGGCUUUGAUUUUUCUGGUAGAAAAGAGAGACAGAGGAGGAUCCAGGGAGGAGGAGAGGUAGGAGAAGAAGGAAGGGUGCGGCAGGGUGCAGCGGUGCGAGGGCACUGGUCUCCCGCGUGAGGAGCGCCUCUCCUUGGGAGGAUCUGGAGGGAGUGAGUGAAACUCAAAUCCACUUCAGAGCAAGGUACUGUUGUAGAAGUACGAAGAAGCAAGCUGACCAGAUGUACAAGUAGUAGCCGGCAACGACGAUGAAGCAAGCCAACCAGAUGUGCACGAAACGACCAUACAUCAUGCCUGAUUGAUCCUCCGGUACGUGUUUCAUUGGCCAAUAGCCCAUGCUAGCUAGCUAGCAACCAUGUAAAUUUCCCACGCUUGAUUUAUUCCUUUAGGACUUUAUUAAUUUUAUAUGUUCUUCCCAUGAUUAUCUGGAUAAUACUAACUGUUGAUGUUUCUUUCACGCAUACAUGGCUUUGCUAGGAGUUUUUCCACUGGUGAGGUCUGAACUCUGAAUACUAUGAACUUAAGGAUAAAUCUUAUAGCAGAUCAAAAUCAUGGUCCACGCAAAAAAAAAAGAGAGAUCAGAAUCAUGGUUGUGCUGAUUCCAUAGGGGCCUCAUGAUGGUUUGUGUUCUUUUAUUCAAAUGAAAAAACCAAGAUUAUUAUUGUAACUGUUACAGUUGUACUAGCAGGAUUAUCCUAGAAGCUGUGCCAAUUUUUCAUCAAUUGAUAACACAGUAAGCAUGUUAAAGUCCAGCAAUUGACUUGGCUUAUUGUUUUGGAAAUCGCAACCGGUGCUUUCCUGCUUGUUUUUGUGAUCACUUGUGUUGUUACUGCCUCCAGAAGCUGCAAUCUAAAGCCUUCUAUAAGAAUAUCAUCACAGAGUAGAUCAAAAAGUUGGAGCGACGAGAUAACAGCACUGAUUGGCUGGUAUUAAGUUUAUAAAAUAAAUUGAUUAUUUUGUCUAACAUAUAUUGUCGCUAAUGUGUUCAUGCUUUCCUCAGAUUCUGAUAUGCUGAAAAUUUGCCAAAGUUAUCGUUGGUUGUUUUUCAUCCUGGUCUUCUUGUUUCUUUCAGUUCAUCAUCCGCAAGAUCUACAUCAUCAUCUUUGGGUCAGUUUGCCAUGAAGGCCAUUCUGCGAACGAGGUUGUUCAUGUCCCUCCUCAUGUACAGUUGUACUUCUAUUCUAGGAUUUCAACUCUGCACUCCAUUCCGCAUCCUGAAUAUUCAGAGUCUCGAGUUUGCAUGAGUCUCGAUUUGAUUAAAUGAACAGGUCAGUAAGAUAGAUUUUUGGUCGAGGAUAGAUUUUUGAUCGUGUGUGGGAUGAGAGGGAAUACUUAUCGGGUUAGGGUCGUGACAUUUUUUCUCCCCUUGCAACGCACGGGCAUUUUUGCUAGUGAUAUAUAAAUGAGAUACGUAUUACAGUGAAAAAAAAGCACAACCCAGCAUCAAUUAAUAGAUGUAGAGGUCACAACGGCGUAUGCUCCAGAUGACGUGCCUUCGACGCAGAUCAAACGCACUAUGCAGUCCACAAACUUCCCGAUGUUCGUAUUCCCAUUGCUUCACGUCUACCACCAAGGCCUUGUUGAUUCGUACAUCUGUCUAUGCUUCGCCAUUAUGAGCUGGAUACUAAUUGUUUUUCUGGGAUAAAAUUUUUGUUGGAGGAAUUUUUCUGGAUAAGAAUUUGUGUAGCAAUAUGUCAUGACAAUCUCUGGUGGCGUCAUGUCACUCUCGAUUUUCCGUAUUUUCGUCUGCCUAGUUUUUUUUGGACUUUUUGUAUGGUGCAAUGGGUGUCUCAGUAGCCAACUAUUGUAUGGUUCAAACACUUCUUGUUGGAUCGCCCAUACGUGGUGGUCCAUGUCUUAAGCAAGUCAAGCUCCGGUGCACCAAAAACGUCCUCAUCGAUGACAACCUUCAAAAAGGCAGGAAUAUGGUACUAACAUUUGCAACCAAUAGAUAGUUUGUGAUAAAUAUCCCAGAAGGACGCGCAUACAUGGCGAACGUUCGCCAGGAGCAGGGUGGCAGGCGAACGUCUUCAGGUGGCAGUUUUAGUGCAUUUUAUGGGGGCAGGGGUGGCAGUUUUUAGAAAUUGCCAUGGCAGUUUCUUCCUUUAAGAGUGCUUUUUUGUCUUUUCUGCAAAAAAACUACCAUCAAUUGGAUGAAGAUCGUGUGGUUCAGAGGUGGUUCACUGGCAUUUCGUUCCCAGCUGGUAUUUCUGUAAUUUUACUUGGUAAGUCAAUAUAAGGAAACAUACAUACAAUAGGUUGGACGAAGGACGAGUGGACACAUUUUUCUUAUGUAGGGGAGAUUUAAGUUGACACUGUUUAGAACAUUCACGUGACAACAUUAGUGUGCGUGUAUAUUUUUAUUACAAGUACAACCUUACAUGUAUUUGAAAAGAGAAAUUAUUGUGCUUGUAAAUUGUAAUACAAAGUAUGAAUGUCGCCCCCUUUGUUCCAAA